This 201-nucleotide ribosomal RNA is filed under the name Bacillus subtilis. Its description in RNAcentral is "partial 23S ribosomal RNA". It matches the Rfam family "Bacterial large subunit ribosomal RNA", at positions 1 to 198 of the family's 2925-position model. Lineage: Bacteria; Bacillati; Bacillota; Bacilli; Caryophanales; Bacillaceae. The record is from RNAcentral.
CGGUUAAGUUAGAAAGGGCGCACGGUGGAUGCCUUGGCACUAGGAGCCGAUGAAGGACGGGACGAACACCGAUAUGCUUCGGGGAGCUGUAAGCAAGCUUUGAUCCGGAGAUUUCCGAAUGGGGAAACCCACCACUCGUAAUGGAGUGGUAUCCAUAUCUGAAUUCAUAGGAUAUGAGAAGGCAGACCCGGGGAACUGAAA